RNAcentral lists this ribosomal RNA (680 nucleotides) under uncultured bacterium. Its description in RNAcentral is "bacterial SSU rRNA". It matches the Rfam family "Bacterial small subunit ribosomal RNA", at positions 73 to 776 of the family's 1533-position model. The record is from RNAcentral.
GCCUAGCUUGCUAAGCUUGUUUUUAGUGGCGCACGGGUGAGUAACACGUGAGUUACCUGCCCCCAAGAGUGGGAUAGCCCCGGGAAACUGGGAUUAAUACCGCAUAAUAUCGCAAGAUUAAAGGUGCAAACCGCUUGGGGAUGGGCUCGCGGCCUAUUAGUUAGUUGGUGAGGUAACGGCUCACCAAGGCGAUGACGGGUAGCCGGUCUGAGAGGAUGUCCGGCCACACUGGAACUGAGACACGGUCCAGACACCUACGGGUGGCAGCAGUCGAGAAUCAUUCACAAUGGGGGAAACCCUGAUGGUGCGACGCCGCGUGGGGGAGCGAAGGUCUUCGGAUUGUAAACCCCUGUCAAGUGGGAGCAAAUUAAAAAGAUAGUACCACUAGUGGAAGAGACGGCUAACUCUGUGCCAGCAGCCGCGGUAAUACAGAGGUCUCAAGCGUUGUUCGGAAUCACUGGGCGUAAAGCGUACGUAGGCGGCUUGGUAAGUCGUGUGUGAAAGGCAGGGGCUCAACCUCUGGACUGCACAUGAUACUGCCAGGCUAGAGUAAUGGAGGGGAAACCGGAAUUCUCGGUGUAGCAGUGAAAUGCGUAGAUAUCGAGAGGAACACUCGUGGCGAAGGCGGGUUUCUGGACAUUAACUGACGCUGAGGUACGAACGCUAGGGGAGCGAAAGGG